RNAcentral lists this unclassified non-coding RNA (336 nucleotides) under soil metagenome. RNAcentral's name for it is "partial contains 5.8S ribosomal RNA, internal transcribed spacer 2, and large subunit ribosomal RNA". The stretch from base 1 to 120 matches the Rfam family "5.8S ribosomal RNA", at positions 35 to 154 of the family's 154-position model. The record is from RNAcentral.
GAUGAAGAACGCAGCGAAAUGCGAUAAGUAAUGUGAAUUGCAGAAUUCAGUGAAUCAUCGAAUGUUUGAACGCACAUUGCGCCCGCCAGUAUUCUGGCGGGCAUGCCUGUUCGAGCGUCAUUUCAACCAUCAAGCCCCAGGCUUGUGUUGGGGACCUGCGGCUGCCGCAGGCCCUGAAAACCAGUGGCGGGCUCGCUGUCACACCGGGCGUAGUAGAUUUUAUCUCGCUCAGGGCGUGCUGCGGGUUCCGGCCGUUAAAAAGCCUUUUUUACCCAAGGUUGACCUCGGAUCAGGUAGGAAGACCCGCUGAACUUAAGCAUAUCAAUAAGCGGAGGA